UGAAAGAAAGAGCAGCAAAAGAAACCCAAUCGUCAGAACCAUUUUCCCUCAAAAAACUUAAACAGAACCAGCUAAAGCUCUCCAAUCUCUAGGAAAACAGAAAUGCAUGAAGCCAUCAACAAAACCCAGAAGAGAGCGGAGCUUCAAUUUAUUCAUCGGAGUAAAGAAUCAAAAUUCCCGACGAACUAAAGCCAAAGAAACCUAAUGCAGAAAGGAGCAGUUCGCCAUGUCUAUCUUUGCGACUCGCUCAACUAUCUUCGGGGCUUCCUCGAUCCAGAAUCGACCCUCAGGAUCUUGGCGCCCCUCCUUGGCCAAGGUAUGAACGCAUUAUUUCCUUCUGUUUUAACAUGAGGGAAAGUAAUUUGCUCAAAAAAAACCCAACCUUUGUUUGAUAUCUGCUAAGAUCAGGCUAAGAACUGAUCUAUCAUUUGUAUUUGCAUGGAAUUUCUUUAUAAUCGUCAAUGAGUCUCCCUCAAUCUGGACGCGACGAAAGCCAAUAUCCUGUGCAAAUCAAAUCGCCUGCUCGUAUGUCCGGGCUUCUACAACAAAGGCAUCGGCAAUAUUAAUAUGAGGG
This 574-nucleotide long non-coding RNA is filed under the name Gossypium barbadense (sea-island cotton). Its description in RNAcentral is "long non-coding RNA (GBAR_LNC012807)". Lineage: Eukaryota; Viridiplantae; Streptophyta; Magnoliopsida; Malvales; Malvaceae. The record is from RNAcentral.